Molecule: ribosomal RNA, 277 nt
Filed under: uncultured prokaryote
Description: partial 16S ribosomal RNA
Rfam family: Bacterial small subunit ribosomal RNA
Source: RNAcentral
CACGUAGGAGGCAAACGUUAUCCGGAUUUACUGGGCGUAAAGCGCGUGUAGGUGGUUCUGUAAGUAGGGCGUGAAAGCUCCCGGCUCAACUGGGAGAGGCCGUUCUAAACUGCAGAGCUAGAGGAUGGUAGAGGGAGGUGGAAUUCCUAGUGUAGCGGUGAAAUGCGUAGAUAUUAGGAGGAACACCAGUGGCGAAGGCGGCUUUCUGGACGACAACUGACGCUGAUGCACGAAAGCGUGGGGAGCAAACAGGAUUAGAUACCCCCGUAGUCCCUGA